Molecule: long non-coding RNA, 2879 nt
Filed under: Canis lupus familiaris (dog)
Lineage: Eukaryota; Metazoa; Chordata; Mammalia; Carnivora; Canidae
Description: lncRNA (ENSCAFG00845012817.1)
Source: RNAcentral
UUUUUUUUUUAUCCUAAAUGUUAAUCCACUGGUGCUUUUUGAUGUUGCAAAUACCACCUCCUAGCGGUCUGUCUUCUUUGUUGAGCUGGUGGUUAAGUAGAAUUUUUCCUGAUGACCCAGAAUUGGUUUCAAGAACAUAAAAUACACUGUACCACAUAUUCUGUAGAAAGCUACAAACAGGGUCAGAUUUAUUUGGACUAUUUUAAGUUUUUGGCUUUUAUGAAUAAGGUUGCUAUGAAUAUUUGCAUACGGUGAACAAAGAUUUUCAUUUUGGUUGACCAGUAAUUACAAUUCAGUCAUUACUUGACAAGUGAAGUUGCUUCCCAAUCUGCGCUUUUCCCAAUACAUUUGUUGUCAUUAAAUUUGAUAAGUAAUCAACUAUGAAACUAUCUUUACCCUCAAAUGAUCAUCAUUAAACUGUAACUUUUUUCAGCUCCAGCACAUUUGUUUAGAACUUCAUCUGAGUCGGUGACAUGAGGGCCUUCUUUACUAAAUUAGUAAUUUUUGAAUACUGGAAGAAAUAUUGCAGUUGUGUGCGUGUGCACUAUUUACAGUGAGUGUAAUGACUACAGACAUAAUGUACUUUUAAGUUUAAUCUUCCUUGUUAACACUUUUUCUAUAGCUUUCUUAAGUCUAGACAAUCAACAAAACUAUCAAGCCCCGAUUUGUAGAAUUUGCAAUAUCCAUGGUGCAAAUAAUCCCAUCCUUGCUGUGUUCAGGGCACCAAUAUUAGGUCAAUAAAAUGAGAUUGGGAUGAGCCAGACAGUAGUAGGUUACAUAGCAUUUCCACCAUUCUGUUACAGUAGAUGUGAAUAAUGUCUAGAGCGUGGGUAAUGCUAAAUGAAAAAAGGCACCUGGGAGGGUUAUUUUUAACGUUUUUUUUUUUCAAGGAGUUUAUUGAUUUGAGAGAAAGAGAAAGCAAGCAAACAAAAGAGAGAGCAUGAUGGGGGGAGGGGCAAGCAGAUUCCCCACUGAGCAGGGAGCCUGAAGAGGCAGGACUUGAUCCCAAGACCCUAAGACCAUGACUUGAGUCAAAGGCAGACUCCUAACCCACUAAGCCACCCAGGCAUCCCUAAGAAUUUUUUUUAUAAUAAUCUCUACGCCCAAUGUGGGGCUGGAACUCACAACCUGGAGAUUAAGAGUCAUAUGCUCUGAUGUGGGAAACAAAGGCAGAAAAGAAAUUAAGUUUCCUUACUCCCUACAGCCCACUGACAAGUCCUUGAAACAGGCCCAGUGACAUUCCUCCAGGAGCUCAGCUGCCUCAAUGUUAAUACUCUGCUGAGGGCAGAAGGUAAUCCUAGCCCGCCCUCCAAGGAUCCUGAGUCUCCUUUAACAUACAAAAAUUCCUUUAGAAAUUUCCUUUAUCUCUACCCCCCAAGAUAUGUGUUGACAAUCAUCCCCCAAGCAUAUGACUCACCAAUGUACAUCUGAUGGGUCUCGACUCAGGUUUUAUUAGACGGUAAUAAGUGACUUUUUCACAAUAAUAGCUAGCCAACCUCAAGGUCCUGGAAACCUUGCUCCCAAAAUUCCUUAGAGCCUUGCACUCUCCCCAACGCCCUCCCAAUUUGAAAGUCUAUCAUGGGCCAGCCCUCAUGAUCCCAGGGAAGCUCUUCCUGCCCACAGGUCCUGGCCAUGGAAACUACUUUAAUGAAACCACUGCUUUGCACCAAAGACAUCUCAAGAAUAUUUUCUUGGCCUUGGGCUUCAAACCCUAACGUUCUUUCCUACAUCAUAUGACGCCCAAUACGGGUGAGCCUUUGAGUCCAGUCUCCUCUGGACUUUGAGCUGUGGUACAAGCUUGGUUCUUCCUCUCCUCUCCUUUCACUGUCAUUCCAGGGGCCCUUCAAGGAGUAGUCUUAUUGAAACACUUUCAUGCUGAUUGCUCAGUCUGCAAUCCUCUAGCCUGUGGCUACUCUAUGGGAAGGAGAAAGCUUGCCUUUUGGCUGGAAGUUAGUACCCUGGCUGGAGUGGUAAUAAGACCCAGAAACUUGAUACCCUCUCUGUAUCCUGUCCUUCUACAAGGUUGUCUACCUUGGGCACGGGACAGCCACCUAAAUCACCAGGAUGGCUGUCAAUGUUGACUCCCAUGUGAGGUUCCCUCCUGACUGAUCUAAUGUGAUCCCCUCCACAUCCUGGUCUAGCCCCUUCUGAGGCCUCCACUGGGAGCCAGCAGAAAUCAGCACCCAAUGGAAUUAAAGCCCAACUGGGGACUGUUUCCCACGGAAGUUGGCUAUAGGGACUACAUGUGUUGAAAUGUCACUUAGACCAUGAUAGAUUUCUAUCUUUACUGUUUUCUGUCAAUGUUCUGACUUACUAUUUAAAUACAAAAUUGGGUAAUUUCCCCUUGUAAAACUUUCAUAGUGUUCUCCGUGGGUUAGAAAUGGCAAGGCAAUAAUGCGGCCUUCCGGGCAUGGGACGGCACAGCAUGGUCUCAGUCCAUUCCCCAGGCACCCAUUGGUAGCCUAGGAUGUGAUGGGGAAGGGGGGGAUACGGGGCCUUUUACUGUGGGAUGCCUUCAUGGUAAGGCAGGAUGGUGAUCAAUAGUGUUUCUUUGGGAGACGCCUCCAGUCACUUUUGACACAUGGAAACUCUGACACAUCCUGCAUGGCACACCACCCAGGAAUUGGGGGAUUUUGGUGAUAGACCUUCUCUACUUUUCUGGGAGCUUGGCCUCAGUAGGCUUCUUCUUCAGUUCCCAAGGACUCUUCCUUGGGGUGCUUUUUAACCCAUUGGAAACAAUUUCAAUCACAGAAUUUAGGAAAGGACUGAUGAUCUGUAACACUACAUGGCUUCAGUAGGAUGUUAGAUCUCUCUGCAGGCAACAGGGCAGAAUGUGUUUGCCCAAAUGUAUCUGGCUAGUAAACUCCCUCCUGACAUAC